UAGUGAGUUUGAUCCUGGCUCAGGAUGAACGCUAGCGGCAGGCCUAAUACAUGCAAGUCGAACGGGUGGUAGCAAUACCACUAGUGGCGCACGGGUGCGUAACGCGUAACCAACCUGCCCUUGACUGGGGGAUAGCCCGCCGAAAGGCGGAUUAAUACCGCAUAAACUAGCAACUCGGCAUCGAGUAACUAGUAAAGAUUUAUUGGUCAAGGAUGGGGUUGCGUGACAUUAGCUAGUUGGCGGUAA
RNAcentral lists this ribosomal RNA (246 nucleotides) under uncultured Hymenobacter sp. RNAcentral's name for it is "partial 16S ribosomal RNA". It matches the Rfam family "Bacterial small subunit ribosomal RNA", at positions 1 to 260 of the family's 1533-position model. Lineage: Bacteria; Pseudomonadati; Bacteroidota; Cytophagia; Cytophagales; Hymenobacteraceae. The record is from RNAcentral.